CCCGCUGAACUUAAGCAUAUCAAUAAGCGGAGGAAAAGAAACUAACAAGGAUUCCCUUAGUAACUGCGAGUGAAGAGGGAAAAGCUCAAAUUUAAAAUCUGGCAGUGUUUCACUGUCCGAGUUGUAACCUAGAGAAGUGUAACCUGCGCUGGACCGUGUAUAAGUCUCCUGGAAUGGAGCAUCACAGAGGGUGAGAAUCCCGUCUUUGACAUGGACCACCAGUGCAUUGUGGUUGUGCUCUCAACGAGUCGAGUUGUUUGGGAAUGCAGCUCUAAACGGGUGGUAAAUUCCAUCUAAAGCUAAAUAUUGGCGAGAGACCGAUAGCGAACAAGUACCGUGAGGGAAAGAUGAAAAGAACUUUGGAAAGAGAGUUAAACAGUAUGUGAAAUUGUUGAAAGGGAAACGUUUGAAGUCAGUCGCGUUGGUUGGGGAUCAGCCUGACAUUGUUGGGUUUACUUCCUGGUCGACGGGCCAACAUCAGUUUUGACUGCCAGAAAAAGGCCAAAGGAAUGUGGCACCUUUGGGUGUGUUAUAACCAUGGUCGUAUAUGGUGGUUGGGACUGAGGAAAGCAGCGUGCCGAAAGGCCGGGUUUCGACCACGUUCACGCUGAGGAUGUUGGCAUAAUGGCUUUAAGCGACCCGUCUUGAAACACGG
RNAcentral lists this ribosomal RNA (655 nucleotides) under uncultured fungus. RNAcentral's name for it is "eukaryotic LSU rRNA". It matches the Rfam family "Eukaryotic large subunit ribosomal RNA", at positions 24 to 664 of the family's 3401-position model. Lineage: Eukaryota; Fungi. The record is from RNAcentral.